Molecule: ribosomal RNA, 497 nt
Filed under: uncultured bacterium
Lineage: Bacteria
Description: partial 16S ribosomal RNA
Rfam family: Bacterial small subunit ribosomal RNA
Source: RNAcentral
GAUGAACGCUGGCGGCGUGCCUAAUACAUGCAAGUCGAGCGAACAGACGAGGAGCUUGCUCCUCUGACGUUAGCGGCGGACGGGUGAGUAACACGUGGAUAACCUACCUAUAAGACGGGGAUAACUUCGGGAAACCGGAGCUAAUACCGGAUAACAUGUUGAACCGCAUGGUUCAACAGUGAAAGACGGUCUUGCUGGCACUUAUAGAUGGAUCCGCGCCGCAUUAGCUAGUUGGUAAGGUAACGGCUUACCAAGGCAACGAUGCGUAGCCGACCUGAGAGGGUGAUCGGCCACACUGGAACUGAGACACGGUCCAGACUCCUACGGGAGGCAGCAGUAGCGAAUCUUCCGCAAUGGGCGAAAGCCUGACGGAGCAACGCCGCGUGAGUGAAGAAGGUCUUCGGAUCGUAAAACUCUGUUAUUAGGGAAGAACAAAUGUGUAAGUAACUAUGCACGUCUUGACGGUACCUAAUCAGAAAGCCACGGCUAACUACGUG